GGUCAAGGAGCUGGAGGCCUGGGGAGGAGCUGGUGUUUCUGUUCAAGUUUGAGGGUCCUGGAGCUGGAGCCCAGGGGAGGAGCCAGUGCUGCCACUGAUGUCUUAGGGUCGUGGAGCUGAAGAUCCCAGAGGAGCCGGUGCUGCUAUUCUAGCUUGAGUUUCGUGGAGCUGGAGACCCAGGGAGAAGAUGGUGCUGCUGUUCUAAUUUAAGGAUCGUGAAACAGAAGACCCAGAAAGGAGCUGGUGCUGCCGCUGCUCAGAUCUGAGGGUGUUGGAGCUGGAGCCUGGGGGUGGAGCCAUUGCUGCCAUUGAAGUGUGAGAGUCAUUGAGCUGGAAGUCCAGGAAGCAGCUGGUGCUGCUGUUCUAGUUUGAGGGUUGUGGAGUGCAGACCCAGGCAGGAGCAACAUUGCUGUAGUUCGAGGGUCAGAAAGCUGGCGACCCAGGGAGGAGAGGUCUUGUUCUAGUUUGAUUUUCGUGGAGCUGCAGACCCAGGGAGGAGCAAUGUUGUUGUAAUUCGAGGGUCUGGUAGCUGGCA
RNAcentral lists this long non-coding RNA (535 nucleotides) under Homo sapiens (human). RNAcentral describes it as "HSALNT0268287". The record is from RNAcentral. Lineage: Eukaryota; Metazoa; Chordata; Mammalia; Primates; Hominidae.